CUCAGAUUGAACGCUGGCGGCAGGCCUAACACAUGCAAGUCGAACGGUAACAGGAAGCAGCUUGCUGCUUCGCUGACGAGUGGCGGACGGGUGAGUAAUGUCUGGGAAACUGCCUGAUGGAGGGGGAUAACUACUGGAAACGGUAGCUAAUACCGCAUAACGUCGCAAGACCAAAGAGGGGGACCUUCGGGCCUCUUGCCAUCGGAUGUGCCCAGAUGGGAUUAGCUAGUAGGUGGGGUAACGGCUCACCUAGGCGACGAUCCCUAGCUGGUCUGAGAGGAUGACCAGCCACACUGGAACUGAGACACGGUCCAGACUCCUACGGGAGGCAGCAGUGGGGAAUAUUGCACAAUGGGCGCAAGCCUGAUGCAGCCAUGCCGCGUGUAUGAAGAAGGCCUUCGGGUUGUAAAGUACUUUCAGCGGGGAGGAAGGCGAUAAGGUUAAUAACCUUGUCGAUUGACGUUACCCGCAGAAGAAGCACCGGCUAACUCCGUGCCAGCAGCCGCGGUAAUACGGAGGGUGCAAGCGUUAAUCGGAAUUACUGGGCGUAAAGCGCACGCAGGCGGUCUGUCAAGUCGGAUGUGAAAUCCCCGGGCUCAACCUGGGAACUGCAUUCGAAACUGGCAGGCUAGAGUCUUGUAGAGGGGGGUAGAAUUCCAGGUGUAGCGGUGAAAUGCGUAGAGAUCUGGAGGAAUACCGGUGGCGAAGGCGG
This 712-nucleotide ribosomal RNA is filed under the name Enterobacter hormaechei subsp. xiangfangensis. RNAcentral describes it as "bacterial SSU rRNA". It matches the Rfam family "Bacterial small subunit ribosomal RNA", at positions 23 to 724 of the family's 1533-position model. Lineage: Bacteria; Pseudomonadati; Pseudomonadota; Gammaproteobacteria; Enterobacterales; Enterobacteriaceae. The record is from RNAcentral.